CCUACGGGAGGCAGCAGUGAGGAAUAUUGGUCAAUGGACGCAAGUCUGAACCAGCCAUGCCGCGUGCAGGAAGACGGCUCUAUGAGUUGUAAACUGCUUUUGUACGAGGGUAAACGCAGAUACGCGUAUCUGUCUGAACGUAUCGUACGAAUAAGGAUCGGCUAACUCCGUGCCAGCAGCCGCGGUAAUACGGAGGAUUCAAGCGUUAUCCGGAUUUAUUGGGUGUAAAGGGUGCGUAGGCGGUAGGAUAAGUUAGAGGUGAAAUCCCGGGGCUCAAAUUCGGGAUUGCUUUUGAUACGGUUCGGCUAGAGGGGAGGAGCGGGAGGCGGAAUGUAGGGUGUAGCGGUGAAAUGCGGAGAGAUCA
This 364-nucleotide ribosomal RNA is filed under the name uncultured bacterium. Its description in RNAcentral is "partial 16S ribosomal RNA". It matches the Rfam family "Bacterial small subunit ribosomal RNA", at positions 338 to 699 of the family's 1533-position model. The record is from RNAcentral.